CCUACGGGAGGCAGCAGUGAGGAAUAUUGGUCAAUGGACGAGAGUCUGAACCAGCCAAGUAGCGUGAAGGAUGACUGCCCUAUGGGUUGUAAACUUCUUUUAUAUGGGAAUAAAAUGUUCCACGUGUGGGAUUUUGUAUGUACCCUAUGAAUAAGGAUCGGCUAACUCCGUACCAGCAGCCGCGGUAAUACGGAGGAUCCGAGCGUUAUCCGGAUUUAUUGGGUUUAAAGGGAGCGUAGGUGGGUUGUUAAGUCAGUUGUGAAAGUUUGCGGCUCAACCGUAAAAUUGCAGUUGAAACUGGCAGUCUUGAGUACAGGAGAGGUGUGCGGAAUGCGUGGUGUAGCGGUGAAAUGCUUAGAUAUCACGAAGAACUCCGAUUGCGAAGGCAGCUCACUGGACUGCAACUGACACUGAGGCUCGAAAGUGUGGGUAUCGAACAGGAUUAGAUACCCCUGUAGUC
This 460-nucleotide ribosomal RNA is filed under the name uncultured bacterium. RNAcentral's name for it is "partial 16S ribosomal RNA". It matches the Rfam family "Bacterial small subunit ribosomal RNA", at positions 338 to 795 of the family's 1533-position model. The record is from RNAcentral.